This 1324-nucleotide long non-coding RNA is filed under the name Homo sapiens (human). Its description in RNAcentral is "HSALNT0348661". The record is from RNAcentral. Lineage: Eukaryota; Metazoa; Chordata; Mammalia; Primates; Hominidae.
AUGCCGUUGCACUCUAGCCUGGGCAACAAGAGCGAAACCCCAUCUCAAAAAAAUAAAAUAAGAUACAAGUAAUAAUUCUGUCAUGUUAUCCAUCUUGACAUGCCAUCUUUUCUCUACUGGGAUUCUAAAGACAGUAACAGAGGCCAGAACCACCUUAGAGAUGGAGAGAAUUAAGCAAACAAUGCUAACAGGGCUCAGGUGACUAUAUGACAAGAGGCAGAGUCUCCAAUAAGGCUGCACAUGUGAACUAGCAACCCUCACAGUGUUUUCUGUCAUCUCCAUCUAUGCUGCCUCACACAGCGCUUUUACAGUGGUACACGAGCACUUCAGACCUCUGGUUAAGCUUGGAUACGACAGAACCAGUCAAUGAAAUGGGAUACAAAUAUCCACAGUGUUUUGCUUGGCAAUUAUUUUGUGAAUAGUGAACACUCCUCUUAAAGCCUGAAGUGGACAUCUAUCCGGCACCCCAAAUUUCCUUGGGAAAUCAUAUCUCUUUCAUUCUGUGCUCCUUUGGUUUAAGUGAAGCAAACCUCACUCCAGCCCUAACCUUUGGGAUAAUCAUUUUAUUAAUCAGCACAUCAUGGUCCUAUGGCCAUAGUAAUCCAAUUGUUCAGGGAUGAGUCUAUAAGAGCUGAUAAAAUGUUUUGCAAGGUUCUUGUAAAAUAAAUCUUUUUCUUUCCUGUGGGAUUUAAGGCUCAAAGGAGGAGCUAUUUUUCCAUCUUGUGAUAAAAAGGGAUGAUGUGAAAAUGGGGCCAUCAGAGCAAGGAAGAGGCCAAGAUGGAGAGCUGGAGUCUCUGAGUCCUGAAUCCAGCCAUCCCUGCAGCCACUCCACCUGUGGAUAUGUCUAUAGCAGGCUGGGAUCAGACAGGUUCCCUGUGACUACCAAGAGAACGGUUGUCACUUCUGCCUAUGUAUCUUUCCAGCAGGGCUGGGACCACAUGGGAAGAAAUCUGCUGUCUAUUCCUGUCUACAAUGAUUCAGCAAUGAGGAAACAUUGACAGAGUAUCUGCUAUGUGCUAGUCACUGUAGACUUCCCCAUCUAAUCUCACAACAAACCUGUCAGGUCUAAAAGAGUCAUGGAGAUGCUGUGGUGAGGGGAGAGGCCAGGCUUAGAGACCUUCAAGAUCUUCAACACCCCCCCAACCCCAACUCUGCACUCCAAAUGGCCACUCUCCAAACACACCCCUGGAAAACAACCAAUGCUCCUCAGAGUGUUUGACUCCUGAUACCACUUAUCUGGUGAUAAGAACUUUUGGGCCAGGCACAGUGGCUCAUCCCUGUAAUCCCAGCACUUUGGGAGGCCAAACCAGGUGGAUCACUUGAG